This is a long non-coding RNA of Pezoporus occidentalis (night parrot), 471 nucleotides long. RefSeq lists it as uncharacterized. The record is from RefSeq and is a predicted model, not a curated record. The transcript has 3 exons. NCBI's taxonomy places the organism in Eukaryota, Metazoa, Chordata, Aves, Psittaciformes, Psittacidae.
CGCGGCCCCGCAGCGCUGAGGGGAGAGCAGGCAAGGGCGGCGUGUCCCGAGGAGCAGCGGGCCCUGUAAGGCCGUGAAGGCGGUGUACCUCUUGUAUUUGAGGUCAGAACAGCGUCAAGAGAGGAAGGGUUCGGACGAGGCUGCCUCCUCGUUGAGGGCCGCAGCAGUAGGCGUCUGCGCCCAGCUGGGCUUCCCCAUCUCAGGCAUCAGUGGCUGCCAGGCCUCCUGCUGAUACCAUUCCGGAUGCUGAUGACCAAUCCCUCACUCAGACAAGGAGGCUGGAAUCUCCAAGGACAAGUGUUUUUCCAACCAUGUCUCAUCAGACCUUUGGAUAGACACUGCCAUUUUCUUCUCCUAACUGGAACAACAUGGAAGACCUUAUAUGUUCAGCUAAUGCCUAAUUCAAAAGUGGAGAGACUGCAGAUAUUUUAGGAUGAGUAGUUCACAGCUUCCAUCCAUCAGUGAGAUCCA